AUUGAACGCUGGCGGCAGGCCUAACACAUGCAAGUCGAGCGGAUGAAGGGAGCUUGCUCCUGGAUUCAGCGGCGGACGGGUGAGUAAUGCCUAGGAAUCUGCCUGGUAGUGGGGGAUAACGUCCGGAAACGGGCGCUAAUACCGCAUACGUCCUGAGGGAGAAAGUGGGGGAUCUUCGGACCUCACGCUAUCAGAUGAGCCUAGGUCGGAUUAGCUAGUUGGUGGGGUAAAGGCCUACCAAGGCGACGAUCCGUAACUGGUCUGAGAGGAUGAUCAGUCACACUGGAACUGAGACACGGUCCAGACUCCUACGGGAGGCAGCAGUGGGGAAUAUUGGACAAUGGGCGAAAGCCUGAUCCAGCCAUGCCGCGUGUGUGAAGAAGGUCUUCGGAUUGUAAAGCACUUUAAGUUGGGAGGAAGGGCAGUAAGUUAAUACCUUGCUGUUUUGACGUUACCAACAGAGUAAGCACCGGCUAACUGCGU
Molecule: ribosomal RNA, 483 nt
Filed under: uncultured bacterium
Lineage: Bacteria
Description: partial 16S ribosomal RNA
Rfam family: Bacterial small subunit ribosomal RNA
Source: RNAcentral